AGAAAAACGUUGAACAGAAGAUUAAGUCUUGGAUAAACUUUUAAAGAGAGUAUCGGUUGCUGCAAAGAUACAAGUCUCCAAGUCUGAAACACAUCUGCGAGUUGGGUUCCUCAACUAGUUUACUAGGGAAUCCCGGGAUAAGCCCGUUACAGCUGUAGUUUAAUAAACUCGUUGAGAUUAAAUUCGUGAGAAUUUAAUGAAGCUUGAGGUGGUACCGCAACUUUUUGUUGCCCUCUAU
Molecule: non-coding RNA, 238 nt
Filed under: Dellaglioa algida
Lineage: Bacteria; Bacillati; Bacillota; Bacilli; Lactobacillales; Lactobacillaceae
Description: Lactobacillus algidus T-box sequence
Rfam family: T-box leader
About the family: Uncharged tRNA acts as the effector for transcription antitermination of genes in the T-box leader family. T-boxes are found upstream of many aminoacyl-tRNA synthetase genes and some amino acid biosynthetic genes usually in Gram-positive bacteria.
Source: RNAcentral